UACGUAGGGGGCAAGCGUUGUCCGGAAUGAUUGGGCGUAAAGGGCGCGUAGGCGGCUUUAUAAGUCUGGAGUGAAAGUCCUCUUUUCAAGGGAGGAAUUGCUUUGGAAACUAUAGAGCUUGAGUGCAGGAGAGGUUAUCGGAAUUCCCGGUGUAGCGGUGAAAUGCGUAGAUAUCGGGAGGAACAUCGGUGGCGAAGGCGGGUAACUGGACUGCAACUGACGCUGAGGCGCGAAAGUGUGGGGAGCAAACAGGAUUAGAUACCCGCGUAGUCCCUGAG
RNAcentral lists this ribosomal RNA (278 nucleotides) under uncultured prokaryote. RNAcentral describes it as "partial 16S ribosomal RNA". It matches the Rfam family "Bacterial small subunit ribosomal RNA", at positions 524 to 801 of the family's 1533-position model. The record is from RNAcentral.